RNA transcript from Oncorhynchus kisutch (coho salmon), 1821 nucleotides. It is a transcript of the gene named histone-lysine N-methyltransferase 2B, with no coding region annotated. The transcript has 4 exons. Lineage: Eukaryota; Metazoa; Chordata; Actinopteri; Salmoniformes; Salmonidae. The record is from RefSeq and is a predicted model, not a curated record.
ACGCCCAAGGUCCCGCCCUACUUCCAUUGAAAAAGAAAUGAAAGCGGUGUCUUUUGUUUUUCACGCUAUUUAUAUAGGCUAUCGCAGUUGUAGUUUUUUUUGUCGAUAUAAUGUUACAGGCAGAGUAGAAUAAUACGAACACGCCGACUUUCAUUCCGCUCAUAAUGUCUAAACUACAGUUGCUGAACGUGUGUCUUACUGAACGACCAACAGCGGCUGCUGCUCUAGAGAUGUCCGUAGCCAAAGAGACAACCAUACCAGAGCUGCAUGAAGAAGUCUACCGUUUGAAGGAGGAGAAUGGCCGUCUACGAAGACUGUUGGAUUUGGUUUUCAAGCCAGAGUUAAAGUUACGCAGAGCAGAUUUCCAGCAUAUCCCCAUAUCUGAAGAGAAUCCCCAUGAGCAGCAGGAGUGGAGCCCCAGUCUGAUUCAGGAGGACCCAGUACCCACACAGAUUAAAGAGGAACAGGAGGAACUACAGACCAGUCAAGAGGAAGAUCAGCUUCUAGGGCCCUUUCAUACCAAAGACUCCAUAUUCACUUCUCCCUUUGUGGAAAGUGACUGUGAUCAGGAGAACCCAUCUCAGCCCUCACAUCUACACCAAACCCAAACUGUGGAGGACAGAGAGAGGGACCCUCUACUCACUAACACAUCUAUAGAGAUCAAACUAGAACCUGAUGUAGAGGAUUACAUAGUAUCAGAACCAGUCAGUGACUCUCAGCCCCUCUCCGCAGUAACUCCAGACUGUUCUGCAGCUCAGAGUGAAAACAGGAAAAGGGAUGAGGUGGAGAGUGGAGGACAACAAUCAGGGUCUAAGACACUCGAAUCCAAGAGAAAACAGACAAAGAAAGGAGAAAGGUUCCAUACCAGAACUGGAGGCAGGAGGGGUAAAUCCAAGAAGCGUACGAUCCGUAUGUGUGGGGAGUGUGAGCCAUGCAGGAGGACUGAGGACUGUGCUCAGUGUGAUUUCUGUAAAGACAUGAAGAAGUUUGGAGGAUCCAACAAGCGCAAACAGAAGUGCAGAUUCAGGCAGUGUGACGUCCACGCUCCGGGUGAGUCCAUUCCGCGCUCCGGGUGAGUCCAUUCCGCGCUCCGGGUGAGUCCAUUCCGCGCUCCGGGUGAGUCCAUUCCGCGCUCCGGGUGAGUCCAUUCCGCGCUCCGGAAAUGCUGCGUGUGAAGGAUGAGGAGAGCAGGCGGAUCCUGAGAGGAGGACAUCGGUCUGAUCACUACAGUGAGAAUGAGAUGGAAUGUGAUGAAGCUGCACGCCUGUCACUAUAAAAAUGCACUGAACCAACAUGCAUGGUUGUUGAUGACACUCUGUUUAGAUGAACAGAAUGAAAUAGUCUCUAUAAUGCACAGUGCUUUAACUCAGACAGCUGUUUGUAGCUGCUGGAAGUGUUUCAAAGCCUAAACUUAACUCAGGAUGGAAGUUUCCAGUGCUACUGUUUUUGCCAUUUAAUAUUUUUAUUAAAACAAAAUCAGACAACCACAUAGUAGAAUAGUUGAUCUAUUUAUCUAGUCUCCUUGUUGUGUGUAAUAUGUGAGAUAAAUAUUCCUCUCGAGGUGCAUUCAAGUUGUGGGAGCCAUAGGAGGGAAACAUGUUCUCUGACAAGCAGUCAAUGCACAGCAAGUCUUAAUGUUAUCUCGCAAAAACAUGUUUGAAAGCAGUUUUGUCCCUUAAAUGAGGGGGAACCCAGUUUUACAUUUCUACAACGUUUAUUUCUACUCCUUCAAUUGCGUGUGGCAUCGUUAAACAAAUGCAGAGUUUCAAGCUUUAGGUGCAACACAGCUCUCAACACAGCAAAUAAAAUCAUUAAAAAUCC